GUUAACGAUGGGCAUGCGUUCCAUUAGAUAGUUGGUGGGGUAACGGCUCACCUGGGCUACGAUGCAUAGGGGGACUGAGAGGAUAGCCCCCCACAUUGGAACUGAGACACGGACCAAACUCCUACGGGAGGCAGCAGUGAGGAAUAUUGGUCAAUGGACGAAAGUCUGAACCAGCCAUGUCGCGUGAAGGAUGACUGCUCUAUGAGUUGUAAACUGCUUUUGUACAAGAAUAAACUCAGAUAUGUGUAUCUGUUUGAAUGUAUUUUAUGAAUAAGGAUCGGCUAACUCCGUGCCAGCAGCCGCGGUAAUACGGAGGAUUCGAGCGUUAUCCGGAUUUAUUGGGUUUAAAGGGAGCGUAGAUGGAUGGAUAAGUUAGAUGUGAAAUUUUGCGGCUCAACCCUGAACUUGCCUCUGAUACUGUAUAUCUUGAGAGUAGUUGAGGCAGGCGGAAUGCAUGGUGUAGCGGUGAAAUGCUUAGAUAUCAUAAAGAACUCCGAUUGCGAAGGCAGCUUGCUAAACUAUAUCUGACAUUGAGGCUCGAAAGUGUGAGUAUCAAACAGGAUUAGAUACCCUGGUAGUCCACACAGUAAACGAUGAUUACUCGCUGUCUGCGAUAUACUGUCAGCGACUAAGCGAAAGCGAUAAGUAAUCCACCUGGGGAGUACGUUCGCAAGAGGGAAACUCAAAGGAAUUGGCGGGGGCCCGCCCAAACGGAGGAACAUGGGGUUUAAUUUGAUGAUUCGGGGGGAACCUUUCCCGGGCUUGAAAGUGCAGAUGAAUUCUGGAGAGAGGAUUAACCUGCGGGGCGUGUGUGUAGGUGCUGCAUGGUUGUCGUCAGCUCGUGCCGUGAGGUGUCGGCUUAAGUCCCAUAACGAGCGCAACCCUUGUCGUUAGUUACCAUCAGGUCAAGCUGAGCACUCUGGCGGGACUGCCGUUGUAAGACGAGAGGAAGGUGGGGAUGACGUCAAAUCAGCACGGCCCUUACGUCCGGGGCUACACACGUGUUACAAUGGUAGGUACAGAGGGCAGCUACCCAGCGAGGGGAUGCCAAUCUCCAAAGCCUAUCUCAGUUCGGAUUGGAGUCUGCAACCCGCCUCCAUGAAGUUGGAUUCGCUAGUAAUCGCGCAUCAGCCACGGCGCGGUGAAUACGUUCCCGGGCCUUGUACACACCGCCCGUCAAGCCAUGGGAGCCGGGGGUACCUGAAGUUCGUAACCGCGAGGAUCGCCCUAGGGUAAAACCGGUAACU
This 1247-nucleotide ribosomal RNA is filed under the name uncultured organism. Its description in RNAcentral is "SSU rRNA". It matches the Rfam family "Bacterial small subunit ribosomal RNA", at positions 218 to 1476 of the family's 1533-position model. The record is from RNAcentral.